This 68-nucleotide transfer RNA is filed under the name Acropora cervicornis. Its description in RNAcentral is "tRNA-OTHER". It matches the Rfam family "tRNA". From Rfam's summary of the family: Transfer RNA (tRNA) molecules are approximately 80 nucleotides in length. Their secondary structure includes four short double-helical elements and three loops (D, anti-codon, and T loops). Further hydrogen bonds mediate the characteristic L-shaped molecular structure. tRNAs have two regions of fundamental functional importance: the anti-codon, which is responsible for specific mRNA codon recognition, and the 3' end, to which the tRNAs corresponding amino acid is attached (by aminoacyl-tRNA synthetases). tRNAs cope with the degeneracy of the genetic code in two manners: having more than one tRNA (with a specific anti-codon) for a particular amino acid; and 'wobble' base-pairing, i.e. permitting non-standard base-pairing at the 3rd anti-codon position. Lineage: Eukaryota; Metazoa; Cnidaria; Anthozoa; Scleractinia; Acroporidae. The record is from RNAcentral.
GUUUCCUGUGGCUCAAUGGCGAGAGCACCGAGGUUGCGGAGGUGUAGGUUCGAUUCAUACCUGGAACU